CCGAAAUUGAUCUUAUAAUGUGUAGAAGGCCCAAAUUACCCGGCCCAAUUUCAAUUUAAACCAACCUUAGCCCAACCCAAACCAAAAAAAAAUAAAAAAUCCUAGGUGUGCCGCCCUACUGUCUGCCACCACAACCUACUCCAUAGUUGGUCACUCACCCCCAUUUUGCUCCACUUACCUGCAAUGGAAAAAGCAAAUAAAUAAAAAAGGAACAAGUUGUAAAAAGUGAGAAAAACCUACAAUCUGAAGGUAAUGUGGGGGGGGGGGGGGGUAUCAAUAAAAAAUACAAAAACAAUAUGGGGGAUUCAAGUAAAAAUUUGUAACUUUCCGAAUACAAAGAAAAUAGAGAAAACACUCAAAGAUUGGAGGUGAUUUACGAUUCAUAUUUUUCUUUUUUCUUUUUUCUUGCUUUGAAGGUACUUUAUCAUUAAAACAAAUAAAGAAGAGAUUCCAAAGACACUUACCUACGGUUUCAAUCGUCGGAGGCCAUCCUCCGGCUUGGAUAUCGGACCAAAAGGGGGUAAAAGGGGUCUCCUCUUGUUUUUACGCGACUUAGGUCAUGAACCGCGGCAGAGGUGGAGGCGUGAACGCCGAUGAUACCCGUGAGCAGCCCAAAAGUGACGGCUAAGGCUUGGUCUUUGAGUUUGGUUGAGAAAAAAAUCAAAAGGUUUGAAAUACAAAAAAAAAUGUAUCAAAAACAAAAAGAAAAAGAAAAUUUAGAAGGUUAAUUUCAAUUUUUUUUUCCUCUAUUAUCUCAAUCUUUCUAUUUAUCUUUGCCUUAUUUUAUUUUUUUCUCAUUAACUUACUUUUAAAAAAAAAGAAUUAAGGAAGAAGAAGAGACUAACCCGAUUUCACGUGGCCCUGACCACCGUCUAUGGUGGAAACCACGGUGGCUUCAAGGAGGCAUGAUGACGGCGCAUGAAUGGGUUUCUUUUGAAACCCUGGCAGAUCUAAAAAUGAAGAAAAUGGGAGGGGAAGGGCUGCUGUUCAUUUCUGGAAAAGAAAGAAAAUGAAAGAUUCAUUUUUUAAAAAAAAAAUUGGCC
RNAcentral lists this long non-coding RNA (1043 nucleotides) under Gossypium barbadense (sea-island cotton). RNAcentral describes it as "long non-coding RNA (GBAR_LNC003798)". Lineage: Eukaryota; Viridiplantae; Streptophyta; Magnoliopsida; Malvales; Malvaceae. The record is from RNAcentral.